CGGGGGCCACCGAGGGGCGGCUCCGGUCAGGAGAACCCGGCCUUGGCGGCGGCACCGGCGCCCUUCGCGACAGGGCUGCGUGAGGGCGGGCCGCUGCCCGCGGGCUCGCCGCUGCCGCCCGCCCCGAGAUGGGCGGUGCGCGCCGGCUCGCCGCGGGGGCGUGGGCUCGGGGUUAGCCCUGAAUGCCCCGUCCGUGGGGAGGGAACUGCCGGCCMCGGGAGGGGACGGGGAAAAAACUCUGAUGUUGGUUAAUCACAGUCAUAGAAUGGUUUGGGUUCAAACGGGCCCUAAAGAUCAUGUCGUUCCAACAUCKCCGCCGUGGGCAGGAACGUCUUUCACUAGACCAGGUCGCUCMGAGCCCCGUCCAGCCCAAACACUUCCAGUCAUGGGUCUUCCACAGCUUCGCUGGGUAAACUCCCACUGCCUCAUCACCCUCACAGUCCCCUUCAGYUGCUGGGAGGUUGCUCCGAGGUCUUCGCACAAACUUCUCGUAUCGAGUAUGAAGCACUUGUUUGUACACAGAGUUGGUAAUAYAUUGCCUGAGGUUACCAAAUGACGUGACGAAAAUGGUGGAGAUGUGUCGGAAACGCUUCUGGGAUGUGCACUCGGAAAGGGGUGAGGGCAGAGAGCUCUCCCRUCUAUAGGAAUUGUCAUGUGUCAGUGAGGUAAAGGCUCCCAAAAGAUGUCAGGUACACGUAGAAGAAACAUGUCUUGCUUCAAGAGGCCUUCAGGAAAAAGGAUGAAAUUUUGGAAGAGCAGGUAGCAUGGUUGCAUCCUCCAACCUCUGGAGCCACUUGUUCCUGACUAUUCAUCUGCUGAAUUUUCGGGUUGUGUUUUCUACCYGUUGGGAAGGGGGAGGGAACACCAGGAUCCCAGGCUACACUGUGGUAGAGCUGGAGACUCCUUUGUGUGAUUUYCAUCUGGCCUGUCCUACUGCAUUUAAAAAAAAAAAGAAAUAGCAGUGAGAAUAACUUCCAUGGCCAAGGAAGUUAUUCUCACUGCUAUUUUAUCUUUCCAAAAUAACUUGUUUUCUUUUCUAACCCUCCCCACCCCUCCCAUUUUUUUUCUUGCAGCAAACGUAGAUGUGGCAUUUAACAGCCCUCUUAAGACAUUAACAUUAAUGGCUACAAGAGAUGAGAGCCAUGUUAGUAAAUCAGGGAUUCCUGGGAAUCUCAAGGUUUUAGAGUAAUGGUAGCAUAAAUAUGUAAGGUUCUGUCAACCAACUUUGUUGGUCACUUAUCUCUUGAAGAUGAAUAAUUAAUAGGAGCACAAGAGCUUCUGUACUCCAUCAGAAAAAGAUCUAUCUAACCUACUGUCUGUCCCUGACCAUUGUCCACAGAGGAUACUUGGAAAAGAGGAAUGAAAUGAUGGCCAGUAUGUGGUGGUGACAAACAUGGGGUGACUGAAAUGUGUAUCACACCCAGUUGUCUGCUUGACUGCACUUUCCCAUAAAAACCAGCCCUGCUGUAGCUGUAUAACAUCUUGUGUGCUGGUGGUCAUGCUGGCAGAGAUAAACGGAUUGUCUUUGUCUUGCAGGGCCACACAGCUCCCAGAGCAGUACUCAGACCACACACACUGUCCAGGUACCCUCUCUGCUGGAGAAAUGUCAGCCCAAUCCUGUGGGUCUCCCUGGAAGGAAAUUUCCASUGCUGCUGUACUCUCACAGGAGGUGCUUGCUUGCAGCAGGGAUGGAUCCCAGUGCUCUCACAGCUGCCAGUCCUUGUCACAAUGAACAUGGGCAAGCCUGAUGGCCCAGGGGCUCUGCAGARUCACUCCCCAGGGUUGGGUGCACACAGGCAGGUGGUGCUUGUAGGCAGCUGGGGCUCAGGUGGAAGCGGGGCUGCCUGCUGGGAGCAGAGGAGGUGUUGGUGCCUGAUCGUGUGCUACAAAAGCAGGUGACAUGGACAUAUAUAGCCCAGCCACCAGCCUGCUUCUCCAGGGCUGCUGCAGCUGCUUUGGGAUGAUUGCUCUGGAAACAAAAAUACUCAAAGUACUGUUUGAAUCAGAGUUUUGUCUUCACACUGUACUUCAAAAYUUAUUUAACUUCUUAAUGUGUUUGGCAUAGUUGUUAAAAAGAAAAAAAAAGGAAAAACAGUAUUCAAAAUUAACUAGUAAAUGAUGAACCAUUACAUGUUACUUUAUUUUCAAUGCUGAAGAAGUAACUGUACUGAUAUUUUGCAUGUUGAACACUAGAUCUAUUGAAAUAAAAUUAGUGAAAACCCAGUAGUAAAAGCAAAUUUUUACUCUCUAAUUUAAAAGGACAUAAAUUAAACUUGGG
Long non-coding RNA from Malurus melanocephalus (red-backed fairy wren), 2278 nucleotides. RefSeq lists it as uncharacterized. The record is from RefSeq and is a predicted model, not a curated record. The transcript is spliced from 3 exons. NCBI's taxonomy places the organism in Eukaryota, Metazoa, Chordata, Aves, Passeriformes, Maluridae.